This 206-nucleotide ribosomal RNA is filed under the name uncultured bacterium. RNAcentral's name for it is "partial 16S ribosomal RNA". It matches the Rfam family "Bacterial small subunit ribosomal RNA", at positions 568 to 774 of the family's 1533-position model. The record is from RNAcentral.
CUCGUAGGCGGUUUGUCGCGUCGUCUAUGAAAUUCUGCAGCUUAACUGCAGGCGUGCAGGCGAUACGGGCAGACUUGAGUACUACAGGGGAGACUGGAAUUCCUGGUGUAGCGGUGAAAUGCGCAGAUACCAGGAGGAACACCGGUGGCGAAGGCGGGUCUCUGGGUAGUUACUGACGCUGAGGAGCGAAAGCGUGGGAGCAAACA